Molecule: ribosomal RNA, 253 nt
Filed under: uncultured bacterium
Lineage: Bacteria
Description: partial 16S ribosomal RNA
Rfam family: Bacterial small subunit ribosomal RNA
Source: RNAcentral
UACGUAGGGUGCGAGCGUUGUCCGGAAUUAUUGGGCGUAAAGAGCUCGUAGGCGGUCUGUCGCGUCUGCUGUGAAAAUCCGGGGCUCAACCCCGAACUUGCAGUGGGUACGGGCAGACUAGAGUGUGGUAGGGGAGACUGGAAUUCCUGGUGUAGCGGUGAAAUGCGCAGAUAUCAGGAGGAACACCGAUGGCGAAGGCAGGUCUCUGGGCCACUACUGACGCUGAGAAGCGAAAGCAUGGGGAGCGAACAGG